AUGUGGCUGGUCAUUCACAAGCGCUGUUUGACAGCGGACAAUUUGGAGCGAAGGGGCUGGCCAUCAAAUGGAACAUGCCCGCUGUGUCUUUCCACACACGAAGAUUGCUCACACCUAUUUUUAGGUUGCCGCUAUUCACAGCAGGUGUGGUCCGGGUUCAGGAACUGGACGCGGGUGACUUUUCCGAUCCCCGAUGAUAGAUUUGGUAGCUCCAAGAACUGGUGGAUCAACGCACGGAGAGACAUUCCCAAGGCAGCCCGACGGGACUUCGACACGAUGACCAUCCUGAUUCACUGGAGAAUUUGGAAGGAAAGAAACGCCAGGAUUUUUCAGCAGGUAGCUAGCAGCGUGGACAAGGUGCUGGAACUCAUCCAGGAAGAUAUCGCUGUUUGGCGAUCGGCUGGUUGUGUAGACGACUUCGGCUAA
RNAcentral lists this ribosomal RNA (426 nucleotides) under Triticum aestivum (bread wheat). RNAcentral's name for it is "partial small subunit ribosomal RNA". The record is from RNAcentral. Lineage: Eukaryota; Viridiplantae; Streptophyta; Magnoliopsida; Poales; Poaceae.